GGCCGAUGCGACCGCCCUCGCUGCUCUCCCUCACCCUCGACUCCGCGCUCCUCCGCAUCGCCCACAUCGCCGACCUCUCCAGCAUUCCCGACCACCUCGUCAUCGACCUCUUCCGUGUAGGUAUCCCGCGCCGCCCUCCGCCUCCCUUUCAAAUCUGUUGCUACUACCGGUUGCUCGUGCUGAGAAGGUAACUGCCAGUGCGUGGCUUCGUUCUGGCUGGGUUCGAUCAUGUCGGGUUGGGCUUGUCCGCUCGUUUAGUGGUUAUAUGCUGCCUGAUCCGUUCUGGUACCAUGCUAAUUUGUUGCAAGGUUGAUAGAACUUGUCGAAUUGUGUGGAAAGGGUUCACAUCAAUUGUUCUGGGAUCCAUGCCUUUGCUAACAGUUGUCAAAGUGGUGAUGUGUAAUCAAUUUUGAUUGUUAUUUCCCUUUUUGGACACUGCAUUGAUUUUUUUUAAUAAUAUACCUAAAAAUUGGAUUUAGUCAUGAAAGUGUUGGCAAUUAUGGACUGUGGUGGUGGGGAAGAGUAGCGGAUGCCUUAAUGUUGGUUACGGUGAGACCCUCCACACAAAGGCAAUUUGGAAAGCAGUAGUGUUGUAAUCUGGUAUAUGUAAUUGCACAGUUGGAAUUUUGUAAUUAUCAUCAUUUUUCUAGUUAUGAUGGAAGUGUGAUAGUUUAUAUGGCAAGGAUUUGAGUUAUCAGAUAUCCCAGAAAAGGGUGGAUUGUGUUAACUUGUGCACACUUAUGAAUGUGUUAGCUAAUUUGCUCUUGCAUUUUGAUGGCAGAGAACUCUGAGUGCUGGGAAGCUGACAGAGAAAGUUCUGAAGUUGUUUCUGGCAACUGGUUGUGAGGAAAUCAUAUUGGCUGUUCAAUUGCUAAACAUUAAGCAACCAGUCGUUCCGGUCCUUCCCACACGUGUGUUUGUCAUCAUAUUACCCUUGCUCGUUCAGUUAUUAGCCGCAGCAGCUUUUGUUUUGACACAACAUCUGCUUGUUUGCAGGGUGCUCUGAGAGGUUCUAGACCUGCUGUUGCUUAGAUCAUUUUGAUUACCUGAGAAGAUGUCUUCGGGAAUUCAAGACAGUGAGGUUGACAUUGUGAUCGCAGCACUCCAGCCCAACCUGAACACCUUCUUUGAAGCAUGGCGGCCAUUUUUCUCUCGUUUCCACAUCAUUGUUGUCAAAGAUCCAGACAUGAAAGAGGAUCUUCAAAUCCCCACU
This 1213-nucleotide long non-coding RNA is filed under the name Setaria viridis. RNAcentral's name for it is "long non-coding RNA (SVIR_LNC002525)". Lineage: Eukaryota; Viridiplantae; Streptophyta; Magnoliopsida; Poales; Poaceae. The record is from RNAcentral.